Molecule: ribosomal RNA, 231 nt
Filed under: uncultured bacterium
Lineage: Bacteria
Description: partial 16S ribosomal RNA
Rfam family: Bacterial small subunit ribosomal RNA
Source: RNAcentral
GAUCCUGGCUCAGGACGAACGCUGGCGGCGUGCUUAACACAUGCAAGUCGAACGGAGCACCCUUGAUUGAGGUUUCGGCCAAAUGAUAGGAAUGCUUAGUGGCGGACUGGUGAGUAACGCGUGAGGAACUUGCCUUUCAGAGGGGGACAACAGUUGGAAACGACUGCUAAUACCGCAUGACGCAUUUUGAUCGCAUGGUCGAAAUGCCAAAGAUUUAUCGCUGAAAGAUGG